GACCCCAGGUCAGGCGGGGCCACCCGCUGAGUUUA
This 35-nucleotide ribosomal RNA is filed under the name Punica granatum (pomegranate). RNAcentral's name for it is "partial 28S ribosomal RNA". The record is from RNAcentral. RNAcentral also lists the same sequence under 1 other name. Lineage: Eukaryota; Viridiplantae; Streptophyta; Magnoliopsida; Myrtales; Lythraceae.